Molecule: long non-coding RNA, 1798 nt
Filed under: Olea europaea subsp. europaea
Lineage: Eukaryota; Viridiplantae; Streptophyta; Magnoliopsida; Lamiales; Oleaceae
Source: RNAcentral
GAGAAACAAGAGUAGGAAUAUGAGCAUAAAUGGUAGACUACAAUAAGAAUUUGGUAAUCCAUCUAUGAGAAGCAUAGUGUUAUAUAGUGUUUAUUUUUUACUGCAAUACUGAAAUGAUUUGCCAUACUAUUUUUAUAGGCUUGAGGUGCUGAUGAUGAGUCUGACAAGUCAAAGUCUGAGAUUAAUGGUGAUGAGGACGAUGAGAGCAGUGGAGACGUUAGUUGGGAUUAAGCUAUACAACUUUUUUGUACUUAAAACUUGGAAACUAUGUUGACUUAUUAUUUUGUUUUAAUUAAUGUAGGAGGAAGACAAUGAGUAAGCGCUAUCACAUAAAACUGGAUUUUGGAUUCAAGGUGAGAGCUAACAAACAAUCUUCCUUCAUUAAUUUGUGUUUGGGCUAUUUUGUAAAAUGCUUGAAUUCAAAGUGAUUUAAUUGAAUUGGUAAAUUAGGAUUUCAUGAAGAAUUAUCCUGUAAAAAUUGGGCUUUAUGUAAAUUUUAUUGAAAGUAAUUAUAGUUAAUACGAUUUUCCUCCUUUUUCUUCUGUUGUGAAAGUUGCUAAGGUGUUAGUUUUUCUUUUUCACCAAGGGGACAAGCGUCUCUUCCCUUCCAUUAACUCGAGCAAAAAAGAGAGGAAACAUAUGCCCUGAUUUUCCCUUUUGGUAACGAAUACCGGGGAAUUCCCCUUUUUCGCCUUCUCCUGCCUCUUACUAUGCUUGAUAUACAUACUUAUUUUGAAAGAACGGGUGAAGGAAGAGGAGGUUGGGUGUUUUUUGACCCAUGAUAAAUAUUUAAUGUGUUACAGCAAGCAGCUCAUAUAUUUUUAAAUCAUUAAAGCUCAUUCCUGUUAAAAAUGUUAGAGAGAAAAACAUUAAUUUAUUCAUAUCUUCAAAACACCUCUUAUGGUACAUGUAGAUUUAAUUUUUCUAUAGAAUGACAUGUAUAAUUUUGACGAGGAUGAUAUUAUUGUUCUGCGGAUUUCCAUCUGGUUGUACAUUACCAAUACAGGUCUAGGCUUAGAGUUCGAUUAGAGACUCGGAGCUCAGUUAUCUACUAGGUCGAGAAAAUUGUUGAUCAGGUCAAUCGCUCUAAGCUUGUGGUUGACUACUUACGUGGCCCAUUUUGUUUAUAUUUCGUUGCAAGCUCCAAUUCAUACAUAGUUUUUGUUAUUGCAGGAGUUAAGAGGAAGAGGACAAACCAAACGAUCAAGGAUUUAGCAAUGCAUUUUUGAAGUGAAGUCCAGGAAACUAUAUUAGUUAAGUGAAGCCAGCAUUCUGCUAAAGCGAACAAAAAGAUUAUGACGAUUGAGGAUGAUCAAAGUCACAUUUCACUUAUUAUCCUUCGUUCCCAUCUCUUUUUGAGUAAUGAUCAUUUUUAGUAUCUUGUGGCUGCCCAACAUUUCAAACAUUCCAAAAACAUUGUAGAUGUAAAUUCUACAUUAUGCGAGGAAUUUCCCUUUUCUUUUCUUUCCUUUUCGAAAUGGAGAAUCAAGUAAGCUGUCAUUUCCAUUUGCAAUAGUGUAGGCUCUUACUGUGAUGUGCUGUUGCACAUGUUCACGUAUGUGUGCACAUAUUUACGUAUAUAUAUGUUUGUGCUAGACGUAUGAUACCAAAAAAAAAAAAUAAUGUUAUUUGUAAGCAGUGCUUACCUAUCAUAGGUAGAAGUAAGAUAAUUGUCACAUUUUCCUAUAAAUUUGGAGUGAUGAUAUUUGUAAACAGUGCACUACAAACAACCUAUGCUUACCUAGUUGCUGUUAGCAUAUGCUGUAGUAAAAUCCCCAAACAUUUCUUUUUCUUCUUA